GAUGAACGCUGACAGAAUGCUUAACACAUGCCAGUCCACUUGAACUUCGGUUUGGGUGGCGGACGGGUGAGUAACGCGUAAAGAAUUUGCCUCACAGCUAGGGACAACAUUUGGAAACGAAUGCUAAUACCUGAUAUUAUGAUUAUAUGGCAUCGUAUAAUUAUGAAAGCUAUAUGCGCUGUGAGAGAGCUUUGCGUCCCAUUAGCUAGUUGGAGAGGUAACAGCUCACCAAGGCGAUGAUGGGUAGCCGGCCUGAGAGGGUGAUCGGCCACAAGGGGACUGAGACACGGCCCUUACGCCUACGGGAGGCAGCAGUGGGGAAUAUUGGACAAUGGACCGAGAGUCUGAUCCAGCAAUUCUGUGUGCACGAUGAAGUUUUUCGGAAUGUAAAGUGCUUUCAGUUGGGAAGAAAAAAAUGACGGUACCAACAGAAGAAGUGACGGCUAAAUACGUG
This 454-nucleotide ribosomal RNA is filed under the name uncultured bacterium. RNAcentral's name for it is "partial 16S ribosomal RNA". It matches the Rfam family "Bacterial small subunit ribosomal RNA", at positions 28 to 507 of the family's 1533-position model. The record is from RNAcentral.